GAUGAACGCUGGCGGCGUGCCUAAUACAUGCAAGUCGAGCGAACGGACGAGAAGCUUGCUUCUCUGAUGUUAGCGGCGGACGGGUGAGUAACACGUGGAUAACCUACCUAUCAGACUGGGAUAACUUCGGGAAACCGGCGCUAAUACCGGAUGAUCUUUUGAACCGCAUGGUUCAAAAGUGAAAGACGGUCUUGCUGUCACUUAUAGAUGGAUCCGCGCUGCAUUAGCUAGUUGGUAAGGUAACGGCUUACCAAGGCAACGAUGCAUAGCCGACCUGAGAGGGUGAUCGGCCACACUGGAACUGAGACACGGACCAGACUCCUACGGGAGGCAGCAGUAGGGAAUCGUCCGCAAUGGGCGAAAGCCUGACGGAGCAACGCGGCGUGAGUGAUGAAGGUCUUCGGAUCGUAAAACUCUGUUAUGAGGGAAGAACAUAUGUGUAAGUAACUGUGCACAUCUUGACGGUACCUAAUCAGAAAGCCACGGCUAACUACGUG
Molecule: ribosomal RNA, 497 nt
Filed under: uncultured bacterium
Lineage: Bacteria
Description: partial 16S ribosomal RNA
Rfam family: Bacterial small subunit ribosomal RNA
Source: RNAcentral